RNAcentral lists this ribosomal RNA (501 nucleotides) under uncultured bacterium. RNAcentral's name for it is "partial 16S ribosomal RNA". It matches the Rfam family "Bacterial small subunit ribosomal RNA", at positions 30 to 523 of the family's 1533-position model. The record is from RNAcentral.
AUUGAACGCUGGCGGCAGGCUUAACACAUGCAAGUCGAGCGGAGAUGAGGUGCUUGCACCUUAUCUUAGCGGCGGACGGGUGAGUAAUGCUUAGGAAUCUGCCUAUUAGUGGGGGACAACAUUCCGAAAGGAAUGCUAAUACCGCAUACGUCCUACGGGAGAAAGUAGGGGAUCUUCGGACCUUGCGCUAAUAGAUGAGCCUCAGUCGGAAUAGCUAGUUGGUAGGGUAAAGGCCUACCAAGGCGACGAUCUGAAGCGGGUCUGAGAGGAUGAUCCGCCACACUGGGACUGAGACACGGCCCAGACUCCUACGGGAGGCAGCAGUGGGGAAUAUUGGACAAUGGGCGGAAGCCUGAUCCAGCCAUGCCGCGUGUGUGAAGAAGGCCUUUUGGUUGUAAAGCACUUUAAGCGAGGAGGAGGCUACUUGGAUUAAUACUCUAGGAUAGUGGACGUUACUCGCAGAAUAAGCACCGGCUAACUCUGUGCCAGCCGCCGCAGUAA